CUGCACAGAAUCACUGCGAUAUAAAUCAUCUUGUUUUUCCAAGAACUUUGCAUUGUGUGAUCAAGCGAAAGGAUUCUUUACCUCACCUUGCUCAAACUCAUCUCAAACACACUGAACUUCUGAUCUUGAUGGCCUGUCUGACCUCUGACCUCUCUGCCCUUCUGUCCUGUAGGAGUUUGAGAAUGCUGAUGGGGAGGAGUACCAGGCGGACCUGUCCACCCUGGCGUCCCCUGCAUCCCAGAGCGGACCUGAUGUCUACAUCCUACCCCUCACGGAGGUGUCCCUCCCCCUGGCCAAACAACCAGGACGAUCAGUCCAACUCCUGAAAUCCACAGAAGUCGGCCGCCAGAGUCUUCUGUACCUGAAAGAGAUCGGCGAUGGCUGGUUCGGAAAGGUGAGACCACUCACUCUCUCCUCACUUUUUCUUGUCAAUUCAUUUUGGUUAUUUUCACUGUGCUGGAAGCUACGAUACGGGUUUAUGAGAGGUAGUUAAAUGUUCUGUCAACUUCGGCUCACGGUUGUUAUGCGCUGAGCUGUGAUCCUAGGUGUGUUUGAGACAGCCUCUUUAAAUGGCCGACACGCUACAUUACCUGGAAUGUGUGUCUGUAUCGGUAAUGAUGGGCUGAUCCACAAGCCUUUGAUGUCUGCCUGCUUGCCUGCCUGCCUGACUGUCUGCCUGCCUGCCUGACUGUCUGCUUGCCUGACUGACUGUCUGCCUGCCUGCCUGCCUGCCUGACUGACUGUCUGCCUGACUGCCUGACUGUCUGCCUGCCUGCCUGUCUGCCUGACUGCCUGACUGUCUGUCUGCCUGCCUGCCUGACUGCCUGACCAACUGCCUGCCUGACUGCCUGACGCUGUUCAGAGAGGAAUAGAACGCCGUGGAAAGACUGGGAGAGAACCGUGUAGCCUGCACACGCAAUGCAGCAGUUUUUAGUUAGCAUUUCACUCUGUUUUUAUUGUCAGAUAACCAUCUUACUCUGAGUGAUGGGUAUUAGCUACUGUAACACUAGAUAACCAUCUUACUCUGAGUGAUGGCUAUUAGCUACUGUAACACUAGAUAACCAUCUUACACUGAGUGAUGGGUAUUAGCUACUGUAACACUAGAUAACUAUCUUACUCUGAGUGAUGGGUAUUAGCUACUGUAACACUAGAUAACUGAUUCUUGUCAUUCUCUCGUUCCCUCCCUCUUUCUGUUUCUUUGUUCUGUUCCGUCUCACACUCAUACACUCUUACACACAUACUUUCCCCACACUUGUGUACCUUGACUGGGUAUGUCCAUUCGUGUGUGUGUCUCUGUGACUGCAUGCAUACCUCUCUGUGUGUCUCUGUGACUGCAUGCAUACCUCUCUGUGUGUCUCUGUGACUGCAUGCAUACCUCUCUGUGUGUCUCUGUGACUGCAUGCAUACCUCU
RNAcentral lists this long non-coding RNA (1411 nucleotides) under Oncorhynchus kisutch (coho salmon). RNAcentral's name for it is "lncRNA (ENSOKIG00005010091.1)". The record is from RNAcentral. Lineage: Eukaryota; Metazoa; Chordata; Actinopteri; Salmoniformes; Salmonidae.